Molecule: ribosomal RNA, 171 nt
Filed under: Myctophum lychnobium
Lineage: Eukaryota; Metazoa; Chordata; Actinopteri; Myctophiformes; Myctophidae
Description: partial 12S rRNA
Source: RNAcentral
CACCGCGGUCAUACGAGUGCGCCCAAGUGGAUAGCUAACGGCGUAAAGUGUGGUUAGGGCCCUAUAAAUACUAAAGAAGAACCACCUCCCAGCCGUUAUACGCACCUGACAGCAUGAAGCCCUCCCACGAAAGUGACUUUAACUCUGCCCGAACCCACGAAAACUAGGAAA